GCUAGUAAUCGCGCAUCAGCCACGGCGCGGUGAAUACGUUCCCGGGCCUUGUACACACCGCCCGUCAAGCCAUGGAAGCCGGGGGUGCCUGAAGUGCGCUGCCGCAAGGAGCGUCCUAGGGUAAAACCGGUGACUGGGGCUAAGUCGUAACAAGGUAAC
RNAcentral lists this ribosomal RNA (159 nucleotides) under uncultured bacterium. Its description in RNAcentral is "partial 16S ribosomal RNA". It matches the Rfam family "Bacterial small subunit ribosomal RNA", at positions 1334 to 1500 of the family's 1533-position model. The record is from RNAcentral.